CAGCGCCACGGUAAUACAGAGGGUGCGAGCGUUAAUCGGAUUUACUGGGCGUAAAGCGUGCGUAGGCGGCUUCUUAAGUCGGAUGUGAAAUCCCUGAGCUUAACUUAGGAAUUGCAUUCGAUACUGGGAAGCUAGAGUAUGGGAGAGGAUGGUAGAAUUCCAGGUGUAGCGGUGAAAUGCGUAGAGAUCUGGAGGAAUACCGAUGGCAAAGGCAGCCAUCUGGCCUAAUACUGACGCUGAGGUACGAAAGCAUGGGGAGCAAACAGGAUUAGAUACCCCUGUAGUCCCUGUCUCUUAUACA
This 301-nucleotide ribosomal RNA is filed under the name uncultured bacterium. RNAcentral describes it as "partial 16S ribosomal RNA". It matches the Rfam family "Bacterial small subunit ribosomal RNA", at positions 509 to 808 of the family's 1533-position model. The record is from RNAcentral.